Molecule: ribosomal RNA, 301 nt
Filed under: uncultured bacterium
Lineage: Bacteria
Description: partial 16S ribosomal RNA
Rfam family: Bacterial small subunit ribosomal RNA
Source: RNAcentral
CAGUCGCCACGGUAAUACGUAGGUGGCAAGCGUUGUCCGGAAUUAUUGGGCGUAAAGGGCUCGCAGGCGGUUUCUUAAGUCUGAUGUGAAAGCCCCCGGCUCAACCGGGGAGGGUCAUUGGAAACUGGGGAACUUGAGUGCAGAAGGGGAGAGUGGAAUUCCACGUGUAGCGGUGAAAUGCGUAGAGAUGUGGAGGAACACCAGUGGCGAAGGCGACUCUCUGGUCUGUAACUGACGCUGAGGAGCGAAAGCGUGGGGAGCGAACAGGAUUAGAUACCCCUGUAGUCCCUGUCUCUUAUAC